Non-coding RNA from Rattus norvegicus (Norway rat), 3791 nucleotides. The record is from RefSeq and is a predicted model, not a curated record. NCBI's taxonomy places the organism in Eukaryota, Metazoa, Chordata, Mammalia, Rodentia, Muridae.
GGCGACCUUCGCAGAGGCCUCUGGGAAGGGAGCUAAUGCGAUACGGCCGCCGGCGCUGUUGCCGGAGUCCAGGGGCUACAGGGCAGCGCCAGUCCGCCUAAGGGGAGACGGUCAGCAGGGAAAUUACAGUGCGUUUUCCCGCCUCAAAGCCAGAAAAAAAGCAGGGAGGGAAGCUACCAGUGGCGAGGAGAUAGGGUAUCCGAAAAGAGUAGGGACCACUGGUUGGGGAUGGGUAGGAGGGCUUAAGAGCAGGACUAAACUGCAGACGACCAUUAAUGACGUCCCGGGAAGUGGUGUGGUUCUUGUCGCUGCUUCCGGUGUGUUGAUGUCUCGAUUGGUGGUCUUCUGGUCUUCAGGGGCAGGUGUGGGGCGGGCGCUAGGAGAGAAGGCCUGCAAUUGGUGAACGAGAUGCCAGAAAAAAUGGGUUGCCACGGCACUCAUACAUAAAUGGCGCUGCAUUAUUUUUUGGUGGGUUUACUUGGGUCCCUAGUUUCAAAUUCAAGUCCUGGGGGGAUGACUGAAUGGCAUUGAAGAUAGCUGCCACUCCUGCCGUGUUCCGAGGAUUGCAUUAGAGGAUCGGGUGUAGAAAAGGAAUUAGACCUUAUAAAUGUAUCCUUUACUUCCUGCCUGUUGCCAUUAAUCCUGUAAACAGAGAUGUUGAGAGCUCUAGCUAGAGAUACUACACUGAAAAAGUCAGCGACCAGCCCUCCCUGAUGUGAGCCUUUAACAUCUUUUUAGGAGGAAACAGGCAAAACUUUCUUCUCUGUGCACGCCCCCCACCCCACCUUUCCUUCUUGUUUUAGCUCCAAGUGCAGCAGCUAUUUGGAAAGCCGAUAGCACAGAAGAUCCAAACUAGUGGCUUCUAUAGAAAAUCCAGGACCUAUUCGGAUAGUCUUGCUCCUUGCCUGUGAAACCCUGUAUGUAACCUGUAUUUUGAACAGCAGUGCAGCACGCAUGGGUUUCGCUGGUUUGUGUAUUUAAUAGGUACCUGUAACAGUUCUUUGUGGGUUUUUUUUCUAGCCAAUAUAAUCCACCGCAGAAAAUCUGACACCCAUCAGAAAACCUAAGUGAACAUUUAAAAAUCCAAAACUUUUUCUUCAUAAGAAAAUUUAAAGUGUGCCUGUGUUUUGCCUGCAACUACAUCUAUCUGUACAAUAAAUGCAGACAGUGCACAUAGUAGCCAAAAGAGGGUGCUGGAUCCUCUGGGAAUGAAGUUGCAGAUGGUUGUGAGGUGCAGAUGGUUGUGAGAUGCCAUGUGGGUGUUAGGAAUUAAAUCUGAGUGUUCUGGAGACAUCUCUCCAGCCCCACUAAGCAAAUUUAAUACUUUGGAAUCAUCCGACCUGUUGCUCUGAAAAUCCCAGAAACAGUAGUAUAGCAGGUAAUCCAAGGCAGUAGUUUUCAGAUUUCUUUGGGCAUCCCACUCAUCUGGAGGGAUAGUUAAAGUAGAAAUCUGGGUUGAAUCUCUAUAGUUUGAUUUUUUUUAGUUAUUGUGGGUUGAGCUUCAAAUUUAGUGUCCUAACAAUUGCCCGGGACAUGUGAACAACCACUGGCCCUAGGAACAGUGUCAGAGAAGUGGGGUGUUCUACAAGGAACAGACACAAGUAAACUGGAUUUCUGUUCCCAAUUACCAAGUGUGGCUUCUUCUGGGCUGACUCUACAAACUUUCCUCCUCCCUCUCCCAGGAUGCAUUAACAAGAAACAAAACCUUUAUACAUGAUUGUGAAACCUAACUCUGUUUUAACCAAAAAUGGGAAGAGAGACGCUCUUAAAUCUAUCUACACCUUGCUGGUCACAAUGUUACAGUUUACAGAAAAUAUUAAGAUUUGGGAACACAUCCCUGUAGAUAGAGCUAUGGAGUCGUGUUAGAACAGUUGGGAAGUAGGUCUCUCCAAUGUCAGGUAUCAGGGCUGUUGAGAUGGUCCAUUUUCAUUCCUGACCUGACAUUUCCUGUAGGAAUCCUACUUCCUAAGACUCCUUAAUAAAUUAGGAAAGUGGCAAGAAAGUCUAGGCACACCCCCAAAUGGAUUGUUUACAUAUGCCACAGAUAAUAUUUAAUUCACUUUUAUCAAUAGUUUUUCUUGUGUAUUGACAAAUUUUCUGAUUAUAGGCUACAGCAAUGUUAUAUGUAUGAAUGCAAUACAGAAUAAUUAAAAAUUAGCAUAUGUAUCACCCAAAAUGAGAGAUUUACAUUUGUCAUAGUCACAGCAUUGACCUACUUUGUUUGUUUUGAGGCAGGGUUUCUCUAUUAAGUCCUGGCUAUCAUUUUCCUCUAAGCCAAGUCCUUUGCACAUGGAGCAACUUGAUUCUUGAACUGGAAGCUGUUGGGCACCUUGCUACUACCAUGGCUGAGCUAAAAGACAAUCAGUUGGUCCAACUGCCACCUUGCUUAUCCUCAGGCCAGCAGCUAGCAGUUUUGAAGCCAAUAAGGGAAACUUGAGAAGUCUUGCAGCUUCCACAGGGGAUUAUCCCCAGCUGAACCAGCUCCGUCAGUAUUACAGCUUACAGGGAUGGGCAGUAUCCCCAACUCAACUGAAGAGCUCAGCAGCCUGAGUCCAACUCCUUCUCUUUGCUGCUUCUGGACCAAGGAUCACAAAUCAGCUGCCUCUGCUCCCAGAAAAGGAGCCAACAGCCAGGAGCUAAGCAGUUACAGUCAUUAUAUAGGGUUUCUUAGGGGGCAGGGCUUUCUAGGGCAGAGAUUUCCAGGUUGAAGGUUGGUAGGAUUUCAUGUCUUGAGUUGUGGGAGUUCAGGUAUUGGUGGGUUUUCCUGUUUAGGGAUUGGUGACUUUUGUUUAGACUUUCACAUAAAAUUAGAAUAUGGGGUGGGUUCUACUGAGGAGGUGGAGAUAAACUUUGUGAAUGUUACAGACCUGGAAACAACUAUUAUGAGAGUUGAGGUGGUCUCGGGGAGGGACCUGAUUGCUAGAGCUCCUCAAGUGCAUGGACACAGCCACUUUGCUGUCUUGAAGGUUUACAAAGUUUACAAAGUAUAUAAAGUUUACAAAGGGUGUCCUGGCAGGGAACGUUUUUCCUGCAACUUGAGUGCUGUGAAUAGCCAAAAAAAUCCCUCCUGAGAUAUCUUGGCCUUGAAGCAGGAACCAGCUGAUUUGGCUCUGGGAUCUCCAACUAUCUUUACUUCCAGAGAGGUUUAAUUCCCAGUGCCGGGCAUCCUUGCCUUCAAAUGAGUGCAAACACUUGCAGUCAGGACUUUGUCCAUCCCACCAGCUUACAACAUCUUCCUUCCAAAAUUAGUCGUGAUAACCGUUAUGAAAUCAGUUUCUAGGAGAAUCAGGAUGCACAUAGACUGUUCUCCAAACCUGAACUGCCUCCAUACAACCAUUUCUUCAUUUCCCUUGUCUUUCACUGAAAGCAAACGAUUUCAGCCUUCAAGCACCCCAAGAAAACAUACCUACUAGAAAAACCAGUCUGGGAUGCAGGCAAUUGGUAGACUUGGGCUCAGCCAGUAGGAACAAAGCACAUUUGUGUUGUUAGCAAUUUUGCUGUCUAUAAAUGUGACUUUAGGGGAAUAUUGUUUACUGAUACAAAAUGAUAUUUCCCAGGACUCUUUGAACUGAACUAGUGCCUUUGAGGGGGAAAAUACUAUCUAUGUAUAAGAGAUGGCUCAGUGGUUAACAGCACUCACUGACUGCUCUUCCAGAGGUUCUGAGUUCAAUUCCCAGCAACCACAUGGUGGCUCACAACCAUUUGUAAUGGGAUCUGAUGCCGUCUUCUGGUGUAUCUGAAAACAGCUACAUGUACUUAUGAUAAAUAAAUAAAAUCUUUACGAGGCUGGA